GAUGAACGCUGACAGAAUGCUUAACACAUGCAAGUCAACUUGAAUUUGGGUUUUUAACUUAGGUUUGGGUGGCGGACGGGUGAGUAACGCGUAAAGAACUUGCCUCACAGCUAGGGACAACAUUUGGAAACGAAUGCUAAUACCUAAUAUUAUGAUAAUAGGGCAUCCUAUAAUUAUGAAAGCUAUAAGCGCUGUGAGAGAGCUUUGCGUCCCAUUAGCUAGUUGGAGAGGUAACGGCUCACCAAGGCGAUGAUGGGUAGCCGGCCUGAGAGGGUGAUCGGCCACAAGGGGACUGAGACACGGCCCUUACUCCUACGGGAGGCAGCAGUGGGGAAUAUUGGACAAUGGACCGAGAGUCUGAUCCAGCAAUUCUGUGUGCACGAUGAAGUUUUUCGGAAUGUAAAGUGCUUUCAGUUGGGAAGAAAAAAAUGACGGUACCAACAGAAGAAGUGACGGCUAAAUACGUGCCAGCAGCCGCGGUAAUACGUAUGUCACGAGCGUUAUCCGGAUUUAUUGGGCGUAAAGCGCGUCUAGGUGGUUAUAUAAGUCUGAUGUGAAAAUGCAGGGCUCAACCCUGUAUUGCGUUGGAAACUGUAUAACUAGAGUACUGGAGAGGUAAGCGGAACUACAAGUGUAGAGGUGAAAUCCGUAGAUAUUUGUAGGAAUGCCGAUGGGGAAGCCAGCUUACUGGACAGAUACUGACGCUGAAGCGCGAAAGCGUGGGUAGCAAACAGG
Molecule: ribosomal RNA, 735 nt
Filed under: uncultured Fusobacterium sp.
Lineage: Bacteria; Fusobacteriati; Fusobacteriota; Fusobacteriia; Fusobacteriales; Fusobacteriaceae
Description: bacterial SSU rRNA
Rfam family: Bacterial small subunit ribosomal RNA
Source: RNAcentral